RNAcentral lists this ribosomal RNA (395 nucleotides) under uncultured soil bacterium. Its description in RNAcentral is "bacterial SSU rRNA". It matches the Rfam family "Bacterial small subunit ribosomal RNA", at positions 26 to 445 of the family's 1533-position model. The record is from RNAcentral.
AGAGCGAACGCUGGCGGCAGGCCUAAUACAUGCAAGUCGAGCGGUCCCUUCGGGGGCAGCGGCGGACGGGUGAGUAACGCGUGGGAACGUGCCCUUUGGUACGGAACAACUGAGGGAAACUUCAGCUAAUACCGUAUGUGCCCUUCGGGGGAAAGAUUUAUCGCCAUUUGGAGCGGCCCGCGUUGGAUUAGGUAGUUGGUGAGAUAAAGGCUCACCAAGCCUACGAUCCAUAGCUGGUCUGAGAGGAUGAUCAGCCACACUGGGACUGAGACACGGCCCAGACUCCGACGGGAGCAGCAGUAGGAAUCUGCGCAAGUGGGACGAAGCCUGACGCAGCCAUCGCCGUGUGAAUGAGUAGAAGGUCGUUAGUAUUAGUAAAAUUCGUUACGACCGGG